GAUUAUUUAGUUUGUUUCUAUAUAUUGUAGUAUGUCACCUUUAACCCACACAAAUUAAUCCAGAACAUACAAAGAAGAUCAGAGGAAAAAGGCAACGAUUACUCCACCAACAUACGAGAAGCAAAUUUGGUAUGUAUCUGUAAUAUGUUUAAUUGUUUAUUGUAUCAGGCUGAAACUAGUGAUAUACUUUUCUUCUUUCUUCCUGUUUCUUUCUCUAAACCUUUGAAGAACCUGCAACAGCGAAAAAGGAAUAAAUAAACGAAUAAAACUGAAAUUUGAUAAUUGUGUUCAAAUGCUAAUGUGAUAAAAUAACAAGAGAGUGACAAUUUAGCUAAACCCAUCACCAGAUCCGUCCAUAAAAGUUUGGGGCCUGUAUUGAAAUCGCCCCAAGAUUAGUCACCCCAUCCCCUGGACUAAAGUAUCACUUACAGUAGCAGUGCAGUCAUAGUUUCAUUGCAGACAACGAAAGAUAAUAGAGAUAUUGUUAUGAUUGAACCAUUUUAUAUACGAAUUCAUAUUUGCUGGAAGUCUUAAACCUAAUACUUAGAUGGUCGCAUUUUAAUACCCGUGCGCUUAUCUUUCCCUAUCCAUCUCUCGAAUUCUUCCUCUCUACCCUUCGUCCAUCUCUCAAAUUCCAUUCUCUUUCCCUUUUACCCGAGAUUCGUCCAUGGUAGAGAUUUCAGGAGCCUUUAUAGUCACAAGGCGGAAGAUUGCAAAGCAGGGGAGUCUCACAUUGUGGGAUAUUAAUGGUUGUGAACUCACUGAUAUCUAGUUGGCCUUAUGUGGGAAAAAGAUGCAAAAUAUGCCAGAUUGAAAGAGGGAAUUGGUUAUUUGAUUAAAAAAAGUCCUAGAUGAUAUGAUUGUUGUGGGAGGUUUUGAAGUUGGGGAGGAGUGAUAAGGAUG
This 903-nucleotide long non-coding RNA is filed under the name Lactuca sativa (garden lettuce). RNAcentral describes it as "long non-coding RNA (LSAT_LNC010106)". The record is from RNAcentral. Lineage: Eukaryota; Viridiplantae; Streptophyta; Magnoliopsida; Asterales; Asteraceae.